AAAUGUUCUUAUAUUUCUGCUUAAGAUACAGAAAGCUGCUCAGCACAUCGCUUCUGUCCUAAUAAUGAGAAAAUGACAGAUAAACUACAAAAUCGUUACUUUUGUUGAGCUCAUGAGAAAGAUGAGGUUGUGAGGCAACCAAGUAACCUCAUUCAGAAGAGAGACAAGCCCCUCCGAGGAGAAAUGGGCUUCACAACUGUCUCCACUCUGGCAGAGCAUGGGGAAGAGAGGCACAGCCACUGUCCACGUGGGGAGAAGAAAUCAGCUAAAUUGUAACACAAAAUCCAUGUGUGGUAGACUACAGCCUCAAGUCUUUGGAGUGGCAGAGUCUAUUACUCCCAGGGCAGACAGACCAAGAUACGUUGCUUAAUAGCUGCAUGAAAAGCACUUGAUAACAUUGAACAUCCAUUUAUGAUGAAAACUCAGCAAACUAGAACUUCCUCAAUCUGAUAAAGGACAUCUACAAAAACCCUACGGCUACCAUCAUACUUAAUGCUGGAAGAUUGAAUCUAUAAAUUGUACGUCCCUACAGUGGAAUACUUCUCAUCAAUAAGAUGGAUGAACUACUGAUAAAAGCAGCGGCAUGGAUGAAUCUCAAAAGCAUUACGGUUACUGUUUGUUGGAGCAUUACCUAGGGGAAGAUGCUUGCCAAAGGGAGGAAGAAUGGCCGGGGAGCCUCCGGCUUCAUCAUUACUGCUGAGGUGUCACUCUCAUCCCCAUCUCAGGAAAAGCAAGGCCCCUUUGCAAGGGUGCCGUUGGAUGCGAAUGUCCAGUGCCAGUGGUUAUGAGC
Molecule: long non-coding RNA, 790 nt
Organism: Balaenoptera acutorostrata (minke whale)
Lineage: Eukaryota; Metazoa; Chordata; Mammalia; Artiodactyla; Balaenopteridae
Exons: 4
Source: RefSeq, a predicted model, not a curated record